CCAAUAGCGUAUAUUAAAGUUGUUGCAGUUAAAAAGCUCGUAGUUGAAUUUCGGGAUUAGUACGUUGGUCGUGCCUUCGGUACGUACUGGUGUUACUGGUUCCUACCUUCUGACGAACCAUCAUGUCAUUAAUUUGGUGUGGCGGGGAAUCAGGACUGUUACUUUGAAAAAAUUAGAGUGUUUAAAGCAAGCUAACGCUUGAAUACAUUAGCAUGGAAUAAUGAAAUAGGACGUUCGAUCCUAUUUUGUUGGUUUCUAGGAUUGACGUAAUGAUUAAUAGGGAUAGUUGGGGGCAUUAGUAUUCAAUUGUCAGAGGUGAAAUUCUUGGAUUUAUUGAAGACUAACUACUGCGAAAGCAUUUGCCAAGGAUGUUUUCAUUAAUCAAGAACGAAAGUUAGGGGAUCGAAGACGAUCAGAUACCGUCGUAGUCUUAACCAUAAACUAUGCCGACUAGGGAUCGGAUGAUGUUAAUUUUUUAAUGACUCAUUCGGCGCCUUACG
This 500-nucleotide unclassified non-coding RNA is filed under the name uncultured Glomus. Its description in RNAcentral is "SSU rRNA". It matches the Rfam family "Eukaryotic small subunit ribosomal RNA", at positions 591 to 1092 of the family's 1831-position model. Lineage: Eukaryota; Fungi; Glomeromycota; Glomeromycetes; Glomerales; Glomeraceae. RNAcentral also lists the same sequence under 1 other name. The record is from RNAcentral.